GCUUCGUCUUCUCCUCACGCAGCACCGUCAUUCGGCCUCCUCAUGGCGGCGCACCAACCUAGAAACGUCUCUCUCUUCGCCCUCGUUCCAAUCUUGUCUCCAACUCACGCAUGCAACCAAGGUGCAGCUAGAUCGGAGAAGGAGCCUGAUGGAACUUUUCCCUGUUUUCCGGCCGAUUCUCCCAUCUCCGGCAUCGCCUCGACCUGAAAAUGGUAAUUUAUUGACUCUCUCUUCGUUCUAAACAUCCUAGAGUCCUUAAAAUCUCAAUUUGAUUCGAUUAUGACAAAUUCCCUUUUUCUGUAAAUUCUACUGUUUCUGGACGUUGAGUUCUCCGACCAAGCUUCAACCUUUGGCUUCAAUUCUCAUAUUUGGAACUGUUGAAGGACAUUAGUGAGUAUUGGAACCCUGUUGAGCAGCUGUGAUUAAGAUGUUAUUCAGGGCCUUUGUUUUGGCGUCUUGGAAGUUUUUGAAACCAGGAGAAUGUUACUGUUUUGGAGUUUUGGCUCCUAGGACGAGUUUAAGAUUUGUGUGGGCUAUUUGAGCUGCUAAGAAGCUUGGAGGAACCUAUAUGGUUGCAGCUGCGAGUUACUAACUAACCAAAGGAGCGUAAAUCUUUGGUGUUUCCAAGGUUGGUUAAGCCUAAUCUUUCAAUUUGGGAUCAACAGAAGCCUUGGAAUAAUGGAUGCCAGCGAGUUAUUCUAACUUGAUUUAACGGAUUGAAUAAUCUAUGGAACUCAGAAGAAAUAAAAUUGCCUUUUUUUUUUGGUCAAUGAGAAAUAAAAUUGCCUUGGUUAGCCUCUCAUUGAUCGAUUCAACCUCAUUGCCUUGAGACAAAAUUGAAGCAAGUGAAGAUCUCCAACUUGUAUUUAGAAACUCCAGCGACAUUAUCAAAUUCCGUUGUUUUUUUUUGUCAUAAAAUAAUGUCGUUUUACGUUUAUCUUACCGAAUAUUUGAUUUGAUUAAUGUGAUUUUAGGUUUAUAUUA
This is a long non-coding RNA of Argentina anserina (silverweed cinquefoil), 984 nucleotides long. RefSeq lists it as uncharacterized. NCBI's taxonomy places the organism in Eukaryota, Viridiplantae, Streptophyta, Magnoliopsida, Rosales, Rosaceae. The record is from RefSeq and is a predicted model, not a curated record. The transcript is spliced from 3 exons.